This 497-nucleotide ribosomal RNA is filed under the name uncultured bacterium. Its description in RNAcentral is "partial 16S ribosomal RNA". It matches the Rfam family "Bacterial small subunit ribosomal RNA", at positions 28 to 506 of the family's 1533-position model. The record is from RNAcentral.
GAUGAACGCUGGCGGCGUGCCUAAUACAUGCAAGUCGAGCGAACAGACGAGGAGCUUGCUCCUCUGACGUUAGCGGCGGACGGGUGAGUAACACGUGGAUAACCUACCUAUAAGACUGGGAUAACUUCGGGAAACCGGAGCUAAUACCGGAUAAUAUAUUGAACCGCAUGGUUCGAUAGUGAAAGACGGUUUUGCUGUCACUUAUAGAUGGAUCCGCGCCACAUUAGCUAGUUGGUAAGGUAACGGCUUACCAAGGCAACGAUGCGUAGCCGACCUGAGAGGGGGAUCGGGCACACUGGAACUGAGACACGGGCCAGACUCCUACGGGGGGGAAGAAGAGGGAAACUUCCCCAAAGGGCGAAAGCCUGACGGAGCAACGCCGCGGGAGGGAUGAAAGUCUUCGGAUCGGAAAACCCUUUUAUUAGGGAAGAAAAAAUGUGGAAGGAAAUAAUCACGUUUUGAAGGGACCUAAACAAAAAGGCCAGGCGAACCACCGU